UUUUAAGUGCGUUUAUUAAAUGCGUUUGUCUAAGAUAAUUAUUUAAGAUUAUUCUUGUAAAUAUAUUUAAAUAUUAAUAAUUCUUAAAAUAAAAAAAUAUCCUCAAUUGCAAUAUUAUUGUAGCAUAGUAAUUUGUUAACUAAAUAUUAAAGUGUUCCAUAGAAAAUUUUUAAAUUACAACAAAUAAAAUAAAGUAUGAAUUAAUAUCAAAAUUUUAAUAAAAAUUAAAAAAUUAAAAUAGGGCAAGUCCUACUCUCCUUUACAAAGAGAACAUUAUGAUAUGUAAUUGUAUGUUUGAUUGGGGCAAUACUAUAUUUAUUUAUAUAGCAUAAGAACUAUAUUCUUUGAAAUUAUAAAAGGUUCGAGCAGGUUAACAAGCAUUAAAAAUAAAUGUGUUUCAUCGUCUACUUAUUACCAUGAUUGAUUGUUCAUCAAAAUAGUAAUUCGUUAGUUGGGUUAAAAUCGUUGUAAAGCAGAUUUGUUUAUAUAUUUAAUUUUUAUAAUUAAUAAUAAUUAAUAUAAGUACGCAAGGAUUGAUUAUUGAAAAAAGAAAGAAGAAU
RNAcentral lists this ribosomal RNA (560 nucleotides) under Trypanosoma brucei. Its description in RNAcentral is "Trypanosomatid mitochondrial large subunit ribosomal RNA". It matches the Rfam family "Trypanosomatid mitochondrial large subunit ribosomal RNA". Lineage: Eukaryota; Euglenozoa; Kinetoplastea; Trypanosomatida; Trypanosomatidae. The record is from Rfam by way of RNAcentral.